RNAcentral lists this long non-coding RNA (1001 nucleotides) under Carassius auratus (goldfish). Its description in RNAcentral is "lncRNA (ENSCARG00000034816.1)". Lineage: Eukaryota; Metazoa; Chordata; Actinopteri; Cypriniformes; Cyprinidae. The record is from RNAcentral.
AUGGAGGUAGGAAGAGUGGAGCGUCUCAGAAGAGGAACAGUGGGGAGGGGAGCUGAAGGAGAGAGAGGGGGACCCAGACGGGAGGGUCUUCCGCUUCAGGCCAGCAGUAUCUGCUCCAACACAGAAUAUCUUCUCUUCGCUUCUCUCCUGCGAGAACCGCUCUCCUCCUCCAUUGCUGGGAGUGUUUUUCCCUGGGAAACAGACAGGUCCCACUUCAAAACCAAAUUUCUGAUUGUCCUCCCCAAAGUCUGAGAUCCUGAUGUCCAGCAGAGGGAGCUGUUCCACCUGAGAGCAGCCGUCGGUGAGGGCUUUGAUGUAAGGGGUGGUCUCGUAGCUGAGCUCUUCAUCGUUGGCCCCCUGGAAGUGUAGUGCCCUCUGGUACCCGCUGCCGCUCGUCAGGUCCGUCCAGGCCACCGAUCGCUGGCAGUGGUAGGUCAGGUUUUGAUGGGCCUGAACGCUGAGCAAGCGCAAGAAGCCCAGCUGGACAACACCCACGGGCUCUCCACUCAAGUCAACAUAUGACAACUACAACACAACAGAAAACAGUAAAAUAAUGAACUCGACAGUGAGAGUGAGAACACAAGCAGAAGUCAUUGCAGUUUAAACACUCUUGAAAGGGAUAGUUCACUCAAAAAUUAAAACCCUCAAGCUGUUCUUUCUUCUACAGAACACUAAAGAAGAUUUUUUGAAGAAUUUGGGAAACCAUUCCCAGACUUCCAUUUAAUAAAAAAAGAAUACAAUGGAGGUCAAAGGGGUCCAGAAACUCUUUGGAUACACACAUUCUUCAAAGUAUCUUCUUUUAUGUAAAUGAUGACAGAAUUUGCAUUUUUGGGUGAACUAUCCCUUUAAUAAUAAGCUUUUGGUUCAUUUAUGCAUUUUACUCUGUUAAAUGAUCCUGAAGUGAUAAACUCACCUUGCUUCCCUUUGCAAACUGACUAAACCAGGACCCAGGCUUCUCCUUCGGCCAAGUAUUCAUCUUCACCUAUGGCAGAAUUUAGGAU